AUCUUCCUGCAGUAGGGACUGGUGCGCAGAAUUUCGCUGUAAGGACAGAUUGCCUCAACUAAUAAAGUACGGAGAGGCCCCUGAUGCUAGGGGUGGAGCUGAGUUAAGCUAUUCGACUCGAGCUCGAUAUAUACUCGAUCAGAAGCUCGAGCUCGAACUCGCUUCAUCGAGCUCGAGCUCGAUCUCGAGCUGGAGCUCGAUCUCGAGCUGCUCGUUAGAGCUAUCGAGUCGAGCUCGAGCUCAGAAAUUUGAUACUCGAGAGCUCGACGAGCUCUAUCGAGUAUCACAUAAAAAAAUAAAAAAUAAAUUAUAUUUAAAAUUACUAAUAUAGGUAAAUAAAUUCUGAGAAAUUACGGGUGAGUACCCUUAUCGAGUCGAGCUCGAGCUUUUUAAGGACUCGAUCGAGCUCGAGCUCGAGCUGUGAUUCUCUGACUCGAUCGAACUCGAGCUCGAGCUCGAGCUGUGAUUCUCUGACUCGAUCGAACUCGAGCUCGAGCUCGAGCUGUGAUUCUCUGACUCGAUCGAACUCGAGCUCGAGCUCGAGUAUAAUUAUAUUAUAGCCGAGUCGAGCUCGAGUAUAGCGGUACUCGAGCUCGACUCGGCUCGAAUACACCCCUACCUGAUGCAGAACAACAAAAGGUGCAUAAUUCUGGAUUCAGCUCAUUGACAAAUGAAUGAAGAAUUAAUGUGGUUAACGUCAGCUAAAACUGAGAAAUUCAAUACAAGAAGCAACUUCUCCAGCAUCAAAGAGAUCUAAUCAUGAAAUUUGUAAGUCUCCAAUGUUUCUUCAUACAUUGAUCCACCUUUUGGCAAGAGCUCAAAGGCAAGUCUCCCAUUUCAUUUUC
Molecule: long non-coding RNA, 845 nt
Filed under: Coffea arabica (coffee)
Lineage: Eukaryota; Viridiplantae; Streptophyta; Magnoliopsida; Gentianales; Rubiaceae
Description: long non-coding RNA (CARA_LNC004435)
Source: RNAcentral